GACGAACGCUGGCGGCGUGCUUAACACAUGCAAGUCGAGCGGUAAGGCCCUUUCGGGGGGUACACGAGCGGCGAACGGGUGAGUAACACGUGGGUGACCUGCCCUCAGCUCUGGGAUAAGCCUGGGAAACCGGGUCUAAUACUGGAUAUGACUCCAUGACGCAUGUUGUGGGGUGGAAAGCCUUGUGCGGCUGAGGAUGGGCCCGCGGCCUAUCAGCUUGUUGGUGGGGUGANGGCCUACCAAGGCGACGACGGGUAGCCGGCCUGAGAGGGCGACCGGCCACACUGGGACUGAGACACGGCCCAGACUCCUACGGGAGGCAGCAGUGGGGAAUCUUGCGCAAUGGGCGAAAGCCUGACGCAGCGACGCCGCGUGAGGGAUGACGGCCU
RNAcentral lists this ribosomal RNA (389 nucleotides) under uncultured bacterium. RNAcentral describes it as "bacterial SSU rRNA". It matches the Rfam family "Bacterial small subunit ribosomal RNA", at positions 28 to 417 of the family's 1533-position model. The record is from RNAcentral.